AGCCUCAUAGUGUAAUGGUAGCACACCGGAUUUUGAUUCCGUUCGUCUAGGUUCGAAUCCUAGUGAGGCUA
This 71-nucleotide transfer RNA is filed under the name Akkermansiaceae bacterium. RNAcentral's name for it is "tRNA-Gln". It matches the Rfam family "tRNA". Rfam says of the family: Transfer RNA (tRNA) molecules are approximately 80 nucleotides in length. The record is from RNAcentral. Lineage: Bacteria; Pseudomonadati; Verrucomicrobiota; Verrucomicrobiia; Verrucomicrobiales; Akkermansiaceae.